ACACGGAAUACUAAAACUUACACUGAAACCAACACGUUAUAAAGGAAUAAAAGAUUGAAAUUGCUUACCUAACUACACUUUGAACGAGCCGGCUGAAGCUGAUACGACCAUCUCUUAGGAAGGACCUCUUUCUCAAGGGCGAUCUGACAUAGGAAGACUAGAGACAAAGGUUCAAAAUUCGAAGUAACAAAUUUUCUGUAUUAAAAUUCCCGUGCUGCACCGCCAGUCAAUCAACUCUAAGACGUUUCGACUCGUAUGAAGACUACCUUUUGGCCAACUAAUUGUGGAAGAAGACACUAACAAAAAUACACUU
Drosophila takahashii is the source of this 313-nucleotide long non-coding RNA. RefSeq lists it as uncharacterized. The record is from RefSeq and is a predicted model, not a curated record. NCBI's taxonomy places the organism in Eukaryota, Metazoa, Arthropoda, Insecta, Diptera, Drosophilidae.